GGUUGAUAUUGUUCCAGCGGAUGCUGAGCCAGAAAAAUGCAUCCAAGCUUGUCCACAUGAUUCCAAAGAUGUCCAGAGCAAGCCUCAAUGUAGUACCAUAAGAAGUUGCACAAAGGUGCAUAAACAAGGAAUUGCGCUCGGCAGGUCUGUGGAUCUUACAAAAUUUAACAACUAUGAUGAAUUGACAGCCGAGUUAGACAAGAUGUUUGGUUUUGAGGGUGAACUGAUGUCUCCGAACAAAAAUUGGAUGGUUGUAUACACUGAUAAUGAGGGCGAUAUGAUGCUAGUCGGAGAUGACGAUCCAUGGCAAGAAUUCUGCAGCGUGGUUCGCAAGAUUUUCAU
This 342-nucleotide unclassified non-coding RNA is filed under the name Hevea brasiliensis (rubber tree). Lineage: Eukaryota; Viridiplantae; Streptophyta; Magnoliopsida; Malpighiales; Euphorbiaceae. The record is from RNAcentral.